GCGCUCGUAGCUCAGCCGGAUAGAGCGGCGGUUUCCUAAACCGCAGGUCGGAGGUUCGAGUCCUCCCGGGCGCA
This 74-nucleotide transfer RNA is filed under the name Phycisphaeraceae bacterium. RNAcentral's name for it is "tRNA-Arg". It matches the Rfam family "tRNA". Rfam says of the family: Transfer RNA (tRNA) molecules are approximately 80 nucleotides in length. Their secondary structure includes four short double-helical elements and three loops (D, anti-codon, and T loops). Further hydrogen bonds mediate the characteristic L-shaped molecular structure. tRNAs have two regions of fundamental functional importance: the anti-codon, which is responsible for specific mRNA codon recognition, and the 3' end, to which the tRNAs corresponding amino acid is attached (by aminoacyl-tRNA synthetases). tRNAs cope with the degeneracy of the genetic code in two manners: having more than one tRNA (with a specific anti-codon) for a particular amino acid; and 'wobble' base-pairing, i.e. permitting non-standard base-pairing at the 3rd anti-codon position. Lineage: Bacteria; Pseudomonadati; Planctomycetota; Phycisphaerae; Phycisphaerales; Phycisphaeraceae. The record is from RNAcentral. RNAcentral also lists the same sequence under 1 other name.